GAGUUUGAUCUUGGCUCAGAUUGAACGCUGGCGGCAUGCCUUACACAUGCAAGUCGAACGGCAGCACGGGAGCUUGCUCCUGGUGGCGAGUGGCGAACGGGUGAGUAAUGCAUCGGAACGUAUCCUGGAGUGGGGGAUAACGUAGCGAAAGUUACGCUAAUACCGCAUAUUCUGUGAGCAGGAAAGCGGGGGACCUUCGGGCCUCGCGCUCUUGGAGCGGCCGAUGUCGGAUUAGCUAGUUGGUGAGGUAAAGGCUCACCAAGGCGACGAUCCGUAGCAGGUCUGAGAGGAUGAUCUGCCACACUGGAACUGAGACAUGGUCCAGACUCCUACGGGAGGCAGCAGUGGGGAAUUUUGGACAAUGGGGGCAACCCUGAUCCAGCCAUGCCGCGUGAGUGAAGAAGGCCUCGGUGUAAG
RNAcentral lists this ribosomal RNA (417 nucleotides) under bacterium enrichment culture clone ALO1_GLFRUDD03GQAOR. Its description in RNAcentral is "bacterial SSU rRNA". It matches the Rfam family "Bacterial small subunit ribosomal RNA", at positions 9 to 429 of the family's 1533-position model. The record is from RNAcentral.